This 253-nucleotide ribosomal RNA is filed under the name uncultured bacterium. RNAcentral's name for it is "partial 16S ribosomal RNA". It matches the Rfam family "Bacterial small subunit ribosomal RNA", at positions 524 to 776 of the family's 1533-position model. The record is from RNAcentral.
UACAGAGGGGGCAAGCGUUGUUCGGAAUUACUGGGCGUAAAGGGCGCGUAGGCGGCCCGCUAAGUCGAACGUGAAAUCCCCGGGCUCAACCCGGGAACUGCGUCCGAUACUGGUGGGCUCGAAUCCGGGAGAGGGAUGCGGAAUUCCCGGUGUAGGGGUGAAAUCCGUAGAUAUCGGGAGGAACACCAGUGGCGAAGGCGGCCACCUGGACGGUGACUGACGCUGAGACUCGAAAGCGUGGGUAGCAAACAGG